Molecule: ribosomal RNA, 468 nt
Filed under: uncultured bacterium
Lineage: Bacteria
Description: partial 16S ribosomal RNA
Rfam family: Bacterial small subunit ribosomal RNA
Source: RNAcentral
GACGAACGCUGGCGGCGUGCUUAACACAUGCAAGUCGAACGGAAAGGCCCUGCUUUUGUGGGGUGCUCGAGUGGCGAACGGGUGAGUAACACGUGAGUAACCUGCCCUUGACUUUGGGAUAACGUCAGGAAACUGGGGCUAAUACCGGAUAUGAGCUCCUGCUGCAUGGUGGGGGUUGGAAAGUUUCGGCGGUUGGGGAUGGACUCGCGGCUUAUCAGCUUGUUGGUGGGGUAGUGGCUUACCAAGGCUUUGACGGGUAGCCGGCCUGAGAGGGUGACCGGCCACAUUGGGAAUGAGAUAAGGCCAAGACUCCUACGGGAGGCAGCAGUGGGGAAUAUUGCACAAUGGGCGGAAGCCUGAGGCAGCAACGCCGGGUGCGGGAUGACGGCCUUCGGGUUGUAAACCGCUUUCGCCUGUGACGAAGCGUGAGUGACGGUAAUGGGUAAAGAAGCACCGGCUAACUACGUG